RNAcentral lists this ribosomal RNA (486 nucleotides) under uncultured bacterium. Its description in RNAcentral is "bacterial SSU rRNA". It matches the Rfam family "Bacterial small subunit ribosomal RNA", at positions 30 to 507 of the family's 1533-position model. The record is from RNAcentral.
AUUGAACGCUGGCGGAAUGCUUUACACAUGCAAGUCGGAACGGCAGCGACGGGGCGACCUGGUGGCGAGUGGCGAACGGGUGAGUAAUACAUCGGAACGUGACCCAAUCGGUGGGGGAUAACGUAGCGAAAGUUACGCUAAUACCGCAUACGAUCUACGGAUGAAAGCGGGGGAUCGCAAGACCUCGCGCGAAUGGAGCGGCCGAUGUCAGAUUAGGUAGUUGGUGGGGUAAAGGCUCACCAAGCCGACGAUCUGUAGCUGGUCUGAGAGGACGACCAGCCACACUGGGACUGAGACACGGCCCAGACUCCUACGGGAGGCAGCAGUGGGGAAUUUUGGACAAUGGGCGCAAGCCUGAUCCAGCCAUUCCGCGUGCAGGAUGAAGGCCUUCGGGUUGUAAACUGCUUUUGUACGGAACGAAAAGGCUCUGGUUAAUACCUGGAGUUUAUGACGGUACCGUAAGAAUAAGCACCGGCUAACUACGUG